AAAAACUAAUAUGAUUUUUGAGUUCCUAGCAUGUGGUUUAGGGGGGGUAGCCCCAUUUUCGUGAAGUUAUGGGUCGCGCGUGGAGGAGGCCGCCGCCGUGGGUGGCCGGAACCCCACCGGCGUCACUUUUCAUGGUCGGAUUGUCUUGAGGAAGAAGACAAUCCCAUGGUCGUUGGAUCGCUUUGACUUUAUUUGACUUUUUUUUUUAUCCAAAGGCCCACAAUUUUUCUGAUUUUCGUUUUUAU
This 245-nucleotide long non-coding RNA is filed under the name Lathyrus oleraceus (garden pea). RNAcentral describes it as "Pisum sativum (pea) long non-coding RNA (PSAT_LNC021505)". The record is from RNAcentral. Lineage: Eukaryota; Viridiplantae; Streptophyta; Magnoliopsida; Fabales; Fabaceae.